RNAcentral lists this ribosomal RNA (274 nucleotides) under uncultured bacterium. RNAcentral describes it as "partial 16S ribosomal RNA". It matches the Rfam family "Bacterial small subunit ribosomal RNA", at positions 523 to 796 of the family's 1533-position model. The record is from RNAcentral.
AUACGGAGGGUGCAAGCGUUAAUCGGAAUUACUGGGCGUAAAGCGCGCGUAGGCGGUUUGAUAAGUCGGAUGUGAAAUCCCCGGGCUCAACCUGGGAAUUGCAUUCGAUACUGUCAGGCUAGAGUGUGGGAGAGGGAAGUGGAAUUUCCGGUGUAGCGGUGAAAUGCGUAGAUAUCGGAAGGAACACCAGUGGCGAAGGCGGCUUCCUGGACCAACACUGACGCUGAGGUGCGAAAGCGUGGGGAGCAAACAGAAUUAGAAACCCUAGUAGUCC